This 716-nucleotide ribosomal RNA is filed under the name uncultured Bacteroidota bacterium. Its description in RNAcentral is "bacterial SSU rRNA". It matches the Rfam family "Bacterial small subunit ribosomal RNA", at positions 60 to 774 of the family's 1533-position model. Lineage: Bacteria; Pseudomonadati; Bacteroidota. The record is from RNAcentral.
AGACGAGGGGUAACAUUGUAGCUUGCUACAGAUGACGACCGGCGCACGGGUGCGUAACGCGUAUGAAACCUGCCUUUUACUGGGGGAUAGCCCGAAGAAAUUCGGAUUAAUACCCCAUAAUAAUAAUUGAUGGCAUCAUUAAUUAUUUAAAACUCCGGUGGUAAAAGAUGGUCAUGCGUGACAUUAGCUAGUUGGUAAGGUAACGGCUUACCAAGGCAACGAUGUCUAGGGGUUCUGAGAGGAAGGUCCCCCACACUGGUACUGAGACACGGACCAGACUCCUACGGGAGGCAGCAGUGAGGAAUAUUGGUCAAUGGACGCAAGUCUGAACCAGCCAUGUCGCGUGCAGGAAGACUGCCCUAUGGGUUGUAAACUGCUUUUAUACGGGAAGAAUUGUAGCUACGAGUAGUUAUUUGCCGGUACCGUAUGAAUAAGCAUCGGCUAACUCCGUGCCAGCAGCCGCGGUAAUACGGAGGAUGCGAGCGUUAUCCGGAUUUAUUGGGUUUAAAGGGUGCGUAGGCGGAAUAGUAAGUCAGGGGUGAAAGUUUGCGGCUCAACCGUAAAAUUGCCUUUGAUACUGUUAUUCUUGAGUACAUUUGAGGUAGGCGGAAUGUGUUGUGUAGCGGUGAAAUGCUUAGAUAUAACACAGAACACCGACGAAGGCAGCCUACUAAACUGUAACUGACGCUGAUGCACGAAAGCGUGGGGAUCGAACA